RNAcentral lists this ribosomal RNA (519 nucleotides) under uncultured bacterium. RNAcentral's name for it is "bacterial SSU rRNA". It matches the Rfam family "Archaeal small subunit ribosomal RNA", at positions 345 to 866 of the family's 1478-position model. The record is from RNAcentral.
AACCUCCGCAAUGUGAGAAAUCGCGACGGGGGGAUCCCAAGUGCCAUUCUUAACGGGAUGGCUUUUCAUUAGUGUAAAGAGCUUUUGGAAUAAGGGCUGGGCAAGACCGGUGCCAGCCGCCGCGGUAACACCGGCAGCUCUAGUGGUAGCAGUUUUUAUUGGGCCUAAAGCGUCCGUAGCCGGUUUAAUAAGUCUCUGGUGAAAUCCUGUAGCUUAACUGUGGGAAUUGCUGGAGAUACUAUUAGACUUGAGACCGGGAGAGGUUAGAGGUACUCCCAGGGUAGAGGUGAAAUUCUGUAAUCCUGGGAGGACCGCCUGUUGCGAAGGCGUCUAACUGGAACGGUUCUGACGGUGAGGGACGAAAGUUAGGGGCGCGAACCGGAUUAGAUACCCGGGUAGUCCUAACUGUAAACGAUGCGGACUUGGUGUUGGGGUGGCUUUGAGCUGCUCCAGUGCCGAAGGGAGCUGUUAAGUCCGCCGCCUGGGAAGUACGGUCGCAAGACUGAACUUAAAGGAAUU